Molecule: ribosomal RNA, 301 nt
Filed under: uncultured bacterium
Lineage: Bacteria
Description: partial 16S ribosomal RNA
Rfam family: Bacterial small subunit ribosomal RNA
Source: RNAcentral
CAGCCGCCGCGGGAAUACGUAGGGUGCGAGCGUUAAUCGGAAUUACUGGGCGUAAAGCGUGCGCAGGCGGUUAUAUAAGACAGAUGUGAAAUCCCCGGGCUCAACCUGGGACCUGCAUUUGUGACUGUAUAGCUAGAGUACGGUAGAGGGGGAUGGAAUUCCGCGUGUAGCAGUGAAAUGCGUAGAUAUGCGGAGGAACACCGAUGGCGAAGGCAAUCCCCUGGUCCAUUACUGACGCUGAGGCGCGAAAGCGUGGGGAGCAAACAGGAUUAGAGACCCGCGUAGUCCCUGUCUCUUAUAC